RNAcentral lists this ribosomal RNA (468 nucleotides) under uncultured bacterium. RNAcentral's name for it is "partial 16S ribosomal RNA". It matches the Rfam family "Bacterial small subunit ribosomal RNA", at positions 28 to 507 of the family's 1533-position model. The record is from RNAcentral.
GACGAACGCUGGCGGCGUGCCUAAUACAUGCAAGUCGAACGGAUAGGCCCUGCCUUUGUGGGCUGCAUGAGUGGCGAACGGGUGAGUAACACGUGAGUAACCUGCCCUUGACCUUGGGAUAACUUUUGGAAACUGGGGCUAAUACCGGAUAGCAGCUCAUGUUGCAUGGUGUGGGUUGGAAAGUUUCGGUGGUUGGGGAUGGACUCGGGACUUAUCAGCUUGUUGGUGAGGUAGUGGCUUACCAUGGCUUUGACGGGUAGCCGGCCUGGGAGGGUGACCGGCCACAUUGGGACUGAGAUACGGCCCAGACUCCUACGGGAGGCAGCAGUGGGGAAUAUUGCACAAUGGGCGGAAGCCUGAUGCAGCAACGCCGCGUGCGGGAUGACGGCCUUCGGGUUGUAAACCGCUUUCGCCUGUGACGAAGCGUGAGUGACGGUAAUGGGUAAAGAAGCACCGGCUAACUACGUG